This 757-nucleotide ribosomal RNA is filed under the name uncultured Neocallimastigales. RNAcentral describes it as "partial large subunit ribosomal RNA". It matches the Rfam family "Eukaryotic large subunit ribosomal RNA", at positions 24 to 628 of the family's 3401-position model. The record is from RNAcentral. Lineage: Eukaryota; Fungi; Neocallimastigomycota; Neocallimastigomycetes; Neocallimastigales.
UAUCUCUGUAGAGUCUGCAUAUCAAUAAGCGGAGGAAAAGAAACUAACUAGGAUUCCCUCAGUAACGGCGAGUGAAGCGGGAAGAGCUCAAAUUUGAAAUCUUCAAGGUUUUACCUUGACGAAUUGUAGUUUAAAGAAGUGUUUUCUGUUGGAGUUUUGGUAAAAGUUCUUUGGAAUAGGACAUCAUAGAGGGUGAGAAUCCCGUAUUUGACCAUUAUUUCCAGCUUUGUGAUACACUUUCAAAGAGUCGGAUUGUUUGGGAAUGCAGUCCAAAAUGGGUGGUAAAUUUCAUCUAAAGCUAAAUAUUGGCGAGAGACCGAUAGCGAACAAGUACCGUGAGGGAAAGAUGAAAAGAACUUUGAAAAGAGAGUUAAACAGUACGUGAAAUUGUCAAAAGGGAAGCGUUUGACACCAGUGUUGUUUCUACGAAAAUCAAUUUAUGAUGGCUUGAUGCUAAGCUUUAAGACUUUAUCCGCUUGUUGUUUAGUUUUCUUGUCUUUGUGAAUGCACUUUUCGUGGAACAAGUCAACAUCAAUUUCUUUUGCUGUAAAAGGGUAAGAGGAAGGUGGCUUCGGCUUCGGUUGAAGUGUUUAUAGCCUUUUAUCUCUGCAGUCGGAGAGAUUGAGGUCUGCAGCGUAGAUCCUUCGGGGUUAGAUACAGUUGGUGCUAAGUUAUAGCCUUUCAUAGACAACUUGUUGACUAUGAUCAGUCAUGUAGCUUACUCGCUUAUGCUAUUUUACCUACGCUUAGGAUGUUG